AAGCGUAACAAGGUCUCCGUAGGUGAACCUGCGGAGGGAUCAUUACACAAAUAUGAAGGCGGGCUGGAACCUCUCGGGGUUACAGCCUUGCUGAAUUAUUCACCCUUGUCUUUUGCGUACUUCUUGUUUCCUUGGUGGGUUCGCCCACCACUAGGACAAACAUAAACCUUUUGUAAUUGCAAUCAGCGUCAGUAACAAAUUAAUAAUUACAACUUUCAACAACGGAUCUCUUGGUUCUGGCAUCGAUGAAGAACGCAGCGAAAUGCGAUAAGUAGUGUGAAUUGCAGAAUUCAGUGAAUCAUCGAAUCUUUGAACGCACAUUGCGCCCUUUGGUAUUCCAAAGGGCAUGCCUGUUCGAGCGUCAUUUGUACCCUCAAGCUUUGCUUGGUGUUGGGCGUCUUGUCUCUAGCUUUGCUGGAGACUCGCCUUAAAGUAAUUGGCAGCCGGCCUACUGGUUUCGGAGCGCAGCACAAGUCGCACUCUCUAUCAGCAAAGGUCUAGCAUCCAUUAAGCCUUUUUUUUCAACUUUUGACCUCGGAUCAGGUAGGGAUACCCGCUGAACUUAAGCAUAUCAAUAAGCGGAGGAAAAGAAACCAACAGGGAUUGCCCUAGUAACGGCGAGUGAAGCGGCAACAGCUCAAAUUUGAAAUCUGGCUCUUUUAGAGUCCGAGUUGUAAUUUGCAGAGGGCGCUUUGGCUUUG
RNAcentral lists this ribosomal RNA (701 nucleotides) under Alternaria sp. G29A. RNAcentral describes it as "eukaryotic LSU rRNA". The stretch from base 211 to 364 matches the Rfam family "5.8S ribosomal RNA". RNAcentral also lists the same sequence under 1 other name. The record is from RNAcentral. Lineage: Eukaryota; Fungi; Ascomycota; Dothideomycetes; Pleosporales; Pleosporaceae.